This 254-nucleotide ribosomal RNA is filed under the name uncultured bacterium. RNAcentral's name for it is "partial 16S ribosomal RNA". It matches the Rfam family "Bacterial small subunit ribosomal RNA", at positions 524 to 776 of the family's 1533-position model. The record is from RNAcentral.
UACGGAGGGUGCAAGCGUUGUCCGGAAUCACUGGGCGUAAAGGGCGCGUAGGCGGCUCAUGAAGGCUGUGGUGAAAGUCCGGGGCUCAACCUCGGAUCGGCCGUGGCGACUCGUGGGCUGGAGCACUGUAGAGGCGGGUGGAAUUCCGGGUGUAGCGGUGGAAUGCGUAGAGAUCCGGAAGAACACCAGUGGCGAAGGCGGCCCGCUGGGCAGUGGCUGACGCUGGAGGCGCGACAGCGUGGGGAGCAAACAGG